UACGUAGGGGGCAAGCGUUGUCCGGAAUCAUUGGGCGUAAAGCGCGUGUAGGCGGUCUGGUAAGUCGGCUGUGAAAGUCCAGGGCUCAACCCUGGGAUGCCGGUCGAUACUGCCGGACUAGAGUUCGGAAGAGGCGAGUGGAAUUCCUAGUGUAGAGGUGAAAUUCGUAGAUAUUAGGAAGAACACCAGUGGCGAAGGCGGCUCACUGGCCCGGUACUGACGCUGAGGCGCGAAAGCGUGGGGAGCAAACAGG
Molecule: ribosomal RNA, 253 nt
Filed under: uncultured bacterium
Lineage: Bacteria
Description: partial 16S ribosomal RNA
Rfam family: Bacterial small subunit ribosomal RNA
Source: RNAcentral